UCUGCAUUGAGACUAAUAAGUAACUUCCUUCUUGUACCUCUGAUUAUUAUUACAGGGACCUGUAAACAAUUAUCUAUUUACCUUCUCUCUGUAUCAAGGAAAGAUAAAGACUGAAAAAUGAUUGGCAGAAUCAUGUGACUGGAAUCUUAUGAGCCUGGGAGUGUUGGAAUCUUUGGAAUUCGGUUGAGAGAAACUGUUUCUCUGGAUCUGAAGAGGAAAGGAGAGAGAAGUGUGGCCAAAUCUGUCAGAAUAUGAAUUCCCAAGUCACUAGCCUUUGAAGAUCCUUUGGCUGUGGUUUUGUGGAAAAGGACUGCAUCAAGGUAAAAUAAAGACUGCAAAAUGAUUGGCAGGAGCAUGUGACUGGAAUCUUAUGAGCCUGGGAGUGUUGGAAUGUUUAGGAUUCAGUUGAGAGAAACUGUAUCUCUGGAUCUGAAGAGGAAAGGAGAAAGAAGUGUGGCCAAAUCUGUCAGAAGAUCAAUUCCCAAGACACUAGCCUAUGAAGAUCCUUUGGCUGUGAUAUCAUGAUUGCAACUCCUGCCUUCUUUCUAUCAGUUGAGGCUCAGAAGGUCUUACUCCUUCCUUUAAUUCUGACCUUGUGAGUAUCUACCCGCCUCAUGUGUGUU
RNAcentral lists this long non-coding RNA (623 nucleotides) under Monodelphis domestica (gray short-tailed opossum). RNAcentral describes it as "lncRNA (ENSMODG00000045493.1)". The record is from RNAcentral. Lineage: Eukaryota; Metazoa; Chordata; Mammalia; Didelphimorphia; Didelphidae.